AUACGGAGGGUGCAAGCGUUAUUCGGAAUCACUGGGCGUAAAGGGUGCUUAGGCGGUUUGAUAAGUCUGAUGUGAAAUCCUAUGGCUCAACCAUAGAACUGCAUUGGAAACUGUCAGACUAGAAUACUGAAGGGGCAGAUGGAAUUAGUGGUGUAGGGGUAAAAUCCGUAGAUAUCACUAGGAAUACCGAAAGCGAAAGCGAUCUGCUGGGAAGUUAUUGACGCUGAGGCACGAAAGCGUGGGGAGCAAACGGGAUUAGAAACCCUAGUAGUCC
Molecule: ribosomal RNA, 274 nt
Filed under: uncultured bacterium
Lineage: Bacteria
Description: partial 16S ribosomal RNA
Rfam family: Bacterial small subunit ribosomal RNA
Source: RNAcentral